GGCUUGUCGAUUAUAAUUUCAGGUCAGGCCUGCCCAAUGAAGAAUUUAAUGGCCGCGGUAUAUUGACCGUGCAAAGGUAGCAUAAUCAUUAGUUUUUUAAUUGAAAGCUUGUAUGAAAGGUUAGAUGAGAAAAUUUCUGUCUCUAGGAAAAUUAAUUAGAAUUUUAUUUUUGAGUGAGAAAGCUCAAAUUUCAGUAGAAGACGAGAAGACCCUAUAGAGUUUUAUAUCUAUAAGUGUGAUUAUUUUUAGGGGUUUAAUAUAUGAUUAUAGUUUGGGUAUUUUAUUGGGGUGAUUAGAAAAUUAGGUUAACUUUUCUUCAUAUAAACAUUUAUUUAUGAUUUUAUGAUCCUUUGGUUGAGAUUAUAAGAUUAAAUUACCUUAGGGAUAACAGCGUAAUCUCUUUUAGAGUUCUUAUCGAAAAGGAGGGUUGCGACCUCGAUGUUGGAUUAAAAUUUAUUAUUGGUGUAGAAGCUAGUAAAUUAGGUCUGUUCGACCUUUAAAAUUUUACAUGAUCUGAGUUUAAACCGGUGUGAG
Molecule: ribosomal RNA, 534 nt
Filed under: Trigonopterus sp. 910 AR-2022a
Lineage: Eukaryota; Metazoa; Arthropoda; Insecta; Coleoptera; Curculionidae
Description: partial large subunit ribosomal RNA
Rfam family: Bacterial large subunit ribosomal RNA
Source: RNAcentral